RNAcentral lists this ribosomal RNA (253 nucleotides) under uncultured bacterium. Its description in RNAcentral is "partial 16S ribosomal RNA". It matches the Rfam family "Bacterial small subunit ribosomal RNA", at positions 524 to 776 of the family's 1533-position model. The record is from RNAcentral.
UACGGGGGGGGCAAGCGUUGUUCGGAAUUACUGGGCGUAAAGGGCUCGUAGGCGGCCAACUAAGUCGGAUGUGAAAUCCCCAGGCUCAACUUGGGAACUGCAUCCGAUACUGGAUGGCUUGAAUUCGGGAGAGGGAUGCAGAAUUCCUGGUGUAGCGGUGGAAUGCGCAGAUAUCAGGAGGAACACCGAUGGCGAAGGCAGGUCUCUGGGCCGAUACUGACGCUGAGGAGCGAAAGCGUGGGGAGCGAACAGG